UAAACCCGUUUAACAGAUUAAUUGAUGCAUACUAACUGAGCACUAAACGCUUCGUCACUAAACAGGUUUCUACCGGGCAAUUACAUGAUGAAUGUUUAGACAUAAACAGGCAGUCCACGGGUACUUCGUGUUUUUAAGUGCAUUUGUGUUGCCCAUCCCCCCUGUCCCGCUGUGUUCGUCAGCACAAAUACCAGAGAGGAGACGUGCUGGAGCUCUCGUCUGCCCCGCACCCACUCUACCAACGUGACAAAGAAACGAGUUCAGACAAUUCAGUUUAAACGUACCUUUAUACGCUUUAUGCGGUUUACAAGUGAGAAAAAUACAGCACAACGUCAAAACAAAAACAAUGGAUAUCAUCUCUGAUUUGUCAUGAUGGGCCAUUUAUUUAACCUUCUAAAGUAUACUGUAUAUGUAUUGACCUCCAAAAAAGCUGGGUUGUUUUAGCAUAACUUUCCAUCUGGAUUAAACUAGAACAUUCUGGCAUUUAGUUGAUCUAUCGUCUUUUUCAAGCCAAAACUGUUACACGCAUGCGCACUGGGGCACUGCAGUAGAAAGAAAAGAAGAUCCGUGCACUAAAACUGGUUUAAGCCGAGUUGGGAGAUGGGGCUCGUGUUGUGCAUGUUGUAUUCCUCCGCACUGCGCUUCUGACGUAACUGUUGUUGUUUGAAAAGUACAUUUGUGAGGCUCUAUCAUUAAUGCAUCUCUGAGCAGCUGUGACCGUUGAUCUCACAGAAAUAGAAAAUUGUGGGGGAAUUCCUUUUAGAAAACUUUCCAUGUCAUCUGCUUUUAAAUUUGAUGGAACGUUUGCUUUCUAAUUCGACUUUGUGUCUUAUAUAAGGUGUAUACAUAAUGCAUCAUAAAACCAUGAUUUUUUUGUAUUAUUACAUGCUCAAUUUCACUUAUAACAGUAUUCAUGAAUGUUCAUAGCAACAUACAUUUAGCAGGUCUAUAUAUCUCUGAAAGAACUAUAAAAAUAGCAUGCAAAAUUCUUUUGAGAGGAACUAUUUUUUUUUAUCACACGGCGGAAGGAGUUGAAACCGACCGCCUAUCGACCGCCUAGGUCUAUAAAAACCAUGGCAACAACAAAGCGCGUCACGACGGGGUGAGGCGCACAGGAAGGCAGGCAGGGUUCGUUCGGUGAUCUGGUGAUGUGAUUUCGCUUUAUUCUAUUUUACUUUAAUAACGAUUAUCUAGAAGCACUAUUCUUAGCCAACUUUUUUCACUUUCAAGCUUAUACUUUGUUACAGUUGACCGUACUAAGGCUAUUACAUUUAGCGUGAAGAAGAUUUAAUGAAAGCUUUUUAUACGUUAAAAGUGCAUUUUUUUUUUUAAAUAAUUACUUACCAGACUAUUUCUAAUAGGAAAGACGAACUAUGAAAUAAGCAAUUUUAUGAAAUAGAAUAUGUAAUGCUGAUUUUACUACUAGCAAAUGUUUAACCAGCUGACUAAUAGCUUAAACAAAGCACAGCUAUGACCAUGUUAUCCUAUUUUAUUAAGCUAGUUUUAAAUAUAUUCUUCUUUCAACGAGAUUUUUAUGACGUGACUUGACUUAAAAAGCUUUUUUUUCGAUAAGUUACUCGAUUUCUCAUUCUUAACGUUAGCAACGCUUUUUCAAAAUGGCGGUCGCGACGGUUAGCAGACACAUGAUGCGAGGGCGAACAGAUCUACAGAAGAUUUUAUUUAAAAAAAAAAAAAAAAAAAAAAAAAAAAAAGCUUUUUUUCUGCAAACCAUAACAGAACCAUCAGUAUCCGCUUACUGCUAAGAUAAACCCCGGACAGCCAGGAAAUUAGUAUUUUAUUUAUUUUUGAAGCCUUUGGAGAAGCCCGUCUCGUUACUUCUAUUAGGAAGAAUCUAUUGAACAAGAAGUGAGUUCAUACUUAGGAAGAAAUGGACGAUGAUUAUAGUCGCAGCUUAUCUGUUUCUGAAGAUUUUUAUUUUUUUACGUAAAACCAGUUUUUCGACCAUCAAUUCAUAAAAAAGCAUUUUAAUCAGUUACGAUGACGCACUUCUGAGUGCUUGAACAUGCACCUUAAUGAUCGCUUUUAUGGACUGAGUCACGUGUUGCGUAACAGCUGUGAAUGGGGAGCAUAGCUUGUCUUUCAUGAUCCGACAAUAUCAGCAGAAGACUGAAGUACGGAGUAAAGGAGAAAUGGACUGAGUUUAAUUUAUCCAGUAACGACCUAGCGCUUAGAUGACAACGGAUGGAAGAAAAGACCCACAGCAGAGGCCAGGACCAGGGAGAAUCAGGACAAGAUGGCGAGCCAGGCAGGACCAGAGGGGAACCGGGGGAGGAUCAGAGGGCACAGAGCAGGCAACAGCAGCAGUAUCCAGAUGGGGGAGCCAGAUCCACAAGGCAGAUUAGCGUCAGGACAACUUUCGCCACCAGAGGGAGCUCAGCUGGUCUAGAUCAGAGCAAGCCAAAGAUGAAUGUCCCAGCAGCUGCAGAGAAAGAAAGAGGGCUCACAAGCAGAGAGUAUCAGGGGGUCUUCGCCAUAGCAAAGUCACGAAGAGGGCAUUUGGUUUGUAUGGGUAGAGGUAUCCUGUGUAAUUUUGAAGUCAUGUCAGUAGUUUGCAUUCCAGAACACUUUUGCUCGCGAAGUUCUGUUCUUUCCUUUUCAGGCGUGGUGAGUGACAGUGUUUGAAAUUCCGAUGUGUCAUCUUUCCUGUUGUUGGCCAAGUCUGAUGAAUGGCGUUAGUGUGCUGUGGAGACGUCCGUCCUUAAUCGACCACGCCUCCGCUACGUUUUGGCUAUAGGCCCGUGGAAAAGUCGUCCCCAUAUCCGCUUAAAUCCAUUAGGUCUGUCCUGAGAAGCAAUCUACAUGCGAAGGGUUUUUCGGAGUUGAAGUUCCCCUGCGUCCCUACACGACACAACUACCUCUACUGCACCCCCGCUGCGUCAGUCCGACAUAUGAUGCCAGGGCAGCUGCGUAUUGCCUGCCGGUAAAAAUUUUGAUGAGUUCAUGCAUGAAUUUUAAUGAAAUAAAAGCACUGUUGCUUUAAUAUAUAUAAAAAAAAAAAAAGGAAAACGCAACGCUUAUUUUUUGUAAAUGCGCUAUUGUAAAAGUAGUAACAUACAGAUUUUGCAAAUGCAGUUUCUGAAUAGUGACGUAAUGUUAUUGCAAAGUGUUUUGGGGGUUUGGGAGGGGCAAAUGCGUUUCUCGAGUUCUCUUUCCCACAGGCCCUGGUCACAUUUAGAGGCGAUAGAACCAAAAGGGAUUCCAGGAUGUUGUGUGGACCCUUUUAAAGUCAAAUUGUUGACUCCUCUGUAACGAUUCUUACAAAGCUACAAAGAAAGCCUCUACUUUGAUGGGAUUUAGGAAGGUACCUCAUUGAAUUUGUGUUAAGUUGUGUUUGGAAUUGUGAACCAUAUACUAUACAUAAAUAUUUUCCAGUAUUUAAUGUCUGGGAUUGUCAUGGGCAAUGGGGUGGAGGGGUGUGGGCCGUUAACCCAAAUCUCUUCCUAGACUUUGCAGCUUGUGAAAGCGGCUUUAUUUAAGGGUGGCAGUGGCUUGAAUAGCGCUGUAUGGGGGAAGGAACCACCAGUGUGUCUGCCAGUGGAUGAGUGGCCCUGUUACAAGCCUUCCAUGGCAGCUAGACCAGCGUUUACAUCUUUGGUAACACGGCAUGGGAUCAAACGCUUCCAUUUAUUUAACACAUCAUGAUGGCACUCUUUUGUCUCAUUAUUGAAUAGUAUAUCGAUAUUGGUUGUAUGUAUUGAUAUUGUUUAUGGGGUUUGUGGAUCUUGGGGGGAUUGCUUAAUUUUGACUCUUACAGAAUGAAACAAACCCUCAAAGAACAAAGCUGGUGGUCCAACCAAUAUCUGCCCCCCCUCCCCCCCCCCACUUAAGGAGCAAAGCUACUUCAAUAGAGGCCAAGAUGCUUUUAACGUUUUCUAAUGGCAAGUAAUUGGGUAUUCAUGUAAAUGGCAUUCAUUUUGCUUUUGUCUGUCAUUGUAUUGUACUUGAAUACAAUUUGAUGGCUAAGUGUCUAUGCAGUAAUUGUAUUAGUUUCUUAUUGUUUGGUUAAUUUUGUAUUUUGAAGAGCGGGGAUGUGUGUAGGCUUUCUUUUCCUCCCCCUUUGCAUUUUUCAGUGUGCAGUGUCCCUGAAUGCUUUCGACUGAAGAUGUCAUCUUAACAUUGUAUGUAAAGAUUUGCUUUCGCAUCAGUCAACUUCAGCCUCAUUUGGUCACGUAAGGUCACUAAGCAAGCCAUUUGUUCCUAACAUUUUUUCAUUAAUAGUCUGUUACAAUUGUUAAGAUGUGUGGUAGAGCACUUAUUACAAAUUAGCUUUGUAAUUUGUAUGUAAGUGUACAUUCUGUAACUGUUCCCAUUUUCAGUUAAUAAAUGCAUAGCUUGUUGUGAUUGAAAUAUUUUGGUAUGCAUUUUGUUUCUUGGGGUAUGUCUGGGGCUUUUUGGGGUAUUUCUGUGCUUUUUCAGGUGUGAGUGUAAAGCUUGGCGCUUUUUGUAGAGCUUGGAUGCCAGGGCUUGAUGUCGACUCUGUUCAAGGUGGAGAGGCAGAUCAGUCCAGUUCUACAACUGUACUCAGGUCGAAGGAAGAAAGGCAAAAUAUACAAAUUUAACUUUAAGAUAUGCUUUAUGCAUUAAAUUGUAGUCUCUUAUACAUAAGCCUACCCUUUUAAUAUCUGAUUCUUGUAGACUGUUUUACUUUGAUAAUGGGCUGUUUUGUAAGGGUGGGCAGAGGGGGCCUUUGUUUUUGCCAUUUUUGGUCUUGCAGAAUUUUACGAGGCCUCGUGAAGAAUGCCACUUCAUCCGGUUCCACUGAAUACUUCGGCAGGCAGGACAAUUCGUUGUGCUACAGAAGAUAUUAAACUGUACUGUACUUUUAAAAUGUUUAAUUACCCAGCCACUGCUCUGCGCAACUGUGCAGGGUGUAAAAGUUGCUUUACAAAUGUAUAGCAAUAGUCUGUUCAGCUGUUGCACAAAUGUGCUCCAAACUCCAAAUUUAGAGUGGCUGGGAAAAGCUGUGCAACUGUGCAGCUGGUUUUUUUUGAUUGGCUGUAUAGCCGAAAGUUACCUGGAAAAGAUUUGUUUGGGCUGGGGAGGGCUUUGCACUAUUCUCUUUCUUCUGCAGAAAUCUCAUCAGCCAGCUGUGUGGUGAAAGUUACAUGAUGUCGUCCUGUGGAGUCUAUAGCUACCAGGUGUCUGAAUCUUUAAACUUGAUUGUAGAAUCCUCAUGCAACAUUGUAAUCUUCAGUAACAUCAAUCACCACUGCUUCAGAAGCUGCACUUGUUUUGUGCUUCAUGCACUUUAAGUUUCUUUUACAUCUCUUAACUCCUUAGUAUUGAAGUCGGUGUGGUGGAAGUGUUUGUGUGUAGAAGCUCUUUGUUUCAGAUUACCCGUCUGUCCCACGCCUUCUCAACUGCAUCUGAAUGCGAGGCUGUCUGUGAGAGCAGUUGCCCUGGUGAAUGUCUUCACUUGAAUGAAUGGCGAUCAAAUCCCCCUACCGUGCGCUUGAGAUCUUUGUCCAAACCUCUGAAGCCCUUCGCUGAAGUCCCUUUGUGUGUCUGCGCGUCUCUCCCGUUUUUUUUUUUUUUUUUUUUUUUUUUUUCUUCUCCAAUUCUUCAUUUUCUUAGGUCAAUUUCACUUAGGGAGCAAAAUUGUCUUGUCGUCUGGGAGAGCUCUAACCGCCUGAUGAAACAUCCAGUCGCUCUGAUCAACCUCAUUUGUCAUUUUGCUGCUAAUUGAGCAUCGCUCUGCUGCUAUCUGCUGAGUUAAGUACAUGAAGUUGAUCUUAAUCUUAUGUGUGGGUAGAACAAGCAUUCACUUUUUCAUAAAUAUGCAUGCACAUAACACUUGCACUAAAAUUUCAAUCAAAUCCAAUGUUAGUGUUUGGAAUUUGGUAGCUUUGGGGAGGGGUGGGGCAACACUUUCUCUCUUUUCAGGUAUGCUGUUGUGAUUCUUCUAAAAUUGAGCCCGAGCUGUAACAUUGGAGUGGAUGGAUGUGCUUGCGUCAAAGCAAUUGCGUAACAAGUAUUUGGAAUGGAUUGUAAAUUAAUUUAAAUUGUAUUGGGAUGGGGAGGGAGGGGGAUGUGGGCUUGUAAAUUUUUUUUGCUCUGUUCUUUCAUUGCAGCUGUAGACUUGCUAACACUUUACUCCGAAGAGUUGGGUGUAAAGCGUCACUGGCUGGAGAUAAGUUUUUACGUGCACUUUUGCCAUUUAAAGAUUAUGAAAAUAGUUUGGGGAGUCUGUGGGGGGGAACGGAAAAACCCUGCGAGCGUCUGUCUAGUUACAGGAAUGGUGACUCACAAAGGCAGGAUUUUGUUCUGGCCAUGUUGGCGGGAUUUCGACACCUGGACCAUUGUUUGGUGCUAUUAAAUGGGAACAAGUCACACCUGAAUGCAAGUGCAACCUUGUUCAAGACCUCGCUGGUCAGAGAUUUGAUCUUCCAAGUAGAAGCAUAUGAAAAUUUUACCGUAACUUCAAUAGUAGCUAUGGCAUUUUGGAUGUUUUGAAGAGUUUAUCUGGGGAUUGGGGGGAUACCUGCAGUCUUUGUGUAGUUUCAGGCUAAAGAAGAAGAGCCAUAGAAGACCAGAGUGUCGUAGAGCAGCAGGUUUGAGGUUUUUCUUUUCCUGAGGGAAUAAUCUUAGGAUUUUUCCUUCAGGUUUUGCUUUUUUAACCUCAUAAGAAAAAAAGCAAAAGACUCCGGUGGAGGCACUCCUGAUUCUCAGGACGGGGUUCAAUUCCCUGCGGCGUCUUUGCUUUCUAACCUCUGCUCAAGUUAUAUUCUUUAGUGUACCCAAAGUUUAGUUCGUUUUUGAUUUAAUUUUGUUUUUUCUUAUUUUGAUGAUGGUACUUAUUUCCAUUUCAGUUUUCAUUCAUGUCAAAAUUGUUUAUACUUGUGAAAUAAAGGUUUGCUAAUGCCCCAAUGUCA
Long non-coding RNA from Cyprinus carpio (common carp), 6893 nucleotides. RefSeq lists it as uncharacterized. Lineage: Eukaryota; Metazoa; Chordata; Actinopteri; Cypriniformes; Cyprinidae. The transcript is spliced from 2 exons. The record is from RefSeq and is a predicted model, not a curated record.